UUUUCAGAAAUGCGGAAUGAUAACAGAAUUGGUCCAGAGCAGUGUCAAUCAGGAAAUCAAACAAUAUGCAUGUCUGAAGAUGUGGAAAAGGUUCGCUGUGCAGUAACUGAGCCAAUGCCACAAGAAUGUGUGGAUAAGAUUAUGGAGUUUGUACAAGGAAAUUUAUGCUCCGGAGCCGAAGUUUGAUGAUAUCGAAAUUUAAAUUGUAAAUAUAACUGUUGCCACCUUUUAUGAUGAAACAUGAAAUGUGGAUGAAAUAAAUAUAUUCAAUUAUAAA
Molecule: non-coding RNA, 277 nt
Organism: Parasteatoda tepidariorum (common house spider)
Lineage: Eukaryota; Metazoa; Arthropoda; Arachnida; Araneae; Theridiidae
Source: RefSeq, a predicted model, not a curated record